This 496-nucleotide ribosomal RNA is filed under the name uncultured bacterium. RNAcentral describes it as "partial 16S ribosomal RNA". It matches the Rfam family "Bacterial small subunit ribosomal RNA", at positions 28 to 523 of the family's 1533-position model. The record is from RNAcentral.
GAUGAACGCUAGCGGCAGGCCUAACACAUGCAAGUCGAGGGGUAUUAGGAGCUUGCUCCUAAGAGACCGGCGCACGGGUGCGUAACGCGUAUGCAAUCUACCUUUUACAGGGGAAUAGCCCAGAGAAAUUUGGAUUAAUGCCCCAUAGUAUAUAUUAUUCGCAUGUUUGAUAUAUUAAAGUUCCAACGGUAAAAGAUGAGCAUGCGUCCCAUUAGUUAGUUGGUAAGGUAACGGCUUACCAAGACGAUGAUGGGUAGGGGUCCUGAGAGGGAGAUCCCCCACACUGGUGCUGAGACACGGACCAGACUCCUACGGGAGGCAGCAGUGAGGAAUAUUGGACAAUGGGCGCAAGCCUGAUCCUGCCAUGCCGCGUGCAGGAAGAAGCAUCUAUGGUGUGUAAACUGCUUUUGUACGGGAAGAAACACCCCUUCGUGAAGGGACUUGACGGUACCGUAAGAAUAAGGAUCGGCUAACUCUGUGCCAGCCGCCGCCGUAA